Molecule: long non-coding RNA, 6905 nt
Filed under: Lactuca sativa (garden lettuce)
Lineage: Eukaryota; Viridiplantae; Streptophyta; Magnoliopsida; Asterales; Asteraceae
Description: long non-coding RNA (LSAT_LNC000191)
Source: RNAcentral
AACUGAAGAGGUCGAAGUUGAACAAAAUAUACUUUUAUUAAUAAGUAUUAUAAUAUAUUAAAUAUUGUCAGGUUUUUAUGGUGCUGUUUGGCAUUGUCCAAACCGCACCACACCGAAAAAUUACCAAUUAAGGUUGGAUUGGAAUGCAUAAUUAUCAAUUUAUCCUUAAUAAGUCAUAAAUCAACAAAAAUGGCCCAACAAUUUUCUUAAUCUUAAUUGUUGCCUUUGGAUUAGAAAUCAUCAACGAUCAAGAUUGGUUCUCACAAUUCUCUAAUCUCUACUUUUAUGUUGUUUUCAUUUGAACUCAACCCAAAAAUCUCACCAGUAAUCACCACACGAACAAAUCCCGUUCUUGAAAUGAUGAAACCUAUUUGUAUCCCGAAGAAUAAUUUCCCGCUCAACAAUCUUGGAAAUAAGCUUAGCAGCAAUAUGACAAUCCUCACAAACACGUAGAUUUUUAGUAAUCCGUAUAGGCGUAAAAGCUUUAGUAUUUAUAAUCACAAACACAAUAGCAAGCUUCUCACUAUGAACAGCAAGAUGAUUUCCUUUAUCUUCAUCUUCUAUAUCAUGAAGUGCAGAAUCCACUUCAGGAACAUACCCAAAAUCCCUCAUCUUCCCCACAAGUACUUCCAACUCUUGAUAAAUCUGUUUAGAUUGUGGAUGGGAUUGAUCUCCAGCAAGAAACGAAUGAACUUGAUUAUUAAGCUCAACAUUACUAACACCGGGCUCUUUUUUCACUCCUUUUGAUUUCAUUAUUGAACGAAUAUUUGUCACAUCUUUAAAUCUACCUGCUUUUGCGUAUAUAUUUGAUAAUAAAACAUAAUACCCUGCUUGUUCAGGGACCAAUUCAAAGAGAUGAUCUGCUGCUACAAGACCAAUUUCCAUGUUGGAAUGAACUUUACAAGCACUUAACAAAGCACCCCAGAUUCUAUCGUUUGGUUUUGUUUUCAUUUUCUUUAUAAAAUCAUAAGCUUCAUUGAUUCUUCCUGAUCUUCCUAGCAAAUCAACCAUGCACGCCAAGUGUUCGAGUCUUGGAAUGAUGUUAUACUCUUCGGUCAUCAAUUUGAAGAAAUGUUUUCCUUGGUUUAGUAAUCCGGCAUGGCUGCAGGCUGAUAGAACUGGAACGAAGGAAAUGGAAUCAGGGGCGAUUCCGGAAUUUUGCAUAUUUGAAAAGACUGUGAUAGCAGUUUCACCAUCUCCAGUCAUGCCAUAAGCAGAGACCAUGGAAGUCCAGGAGACGACAUCUCUUGUUGGCAUUUCAUCGAACACCUUGCGUGCUUCGUUUAAAGACCCACAUUUAGCAUACAUGUCAAUCAAGGCGUUCUCUACUGUUAGAUUAGGAAGAAGCCUUUUUGUUUUUACAUAUGAAUGAAUCUUUCUUCCUAGUAAUAAAGCUGAAAGAUCUCCACAAGCGGGUAGGAUGCUAGCAACUGUGAUUGAAUCCGGGUCGAUUCCGUAAUUCUCCAUUUGUUGAUAAAGAUUAACUGCAUCUUUAGGCAUCGAGUUGUUGACGUACACAGCUAUCAUGACAUUCCAAGAAAUUAAACUCUCUCGAGCGUGAUUCAUGAACAUUUCUUUCAUAAACAUCACGUUGGUAGAUGAAGUAGAAGUUGUUAAAGCAGGGGAAAGGCUGGCCAUGGUGCCUGCGUUGGGUUUUGAGGUAGAACAUUGCAUCAUUGUCUUACAAAUCUCCAAUGCAUCUUCAAACAUCCGGUUUUGGGCGUAGGCAGCAACCAUAGCAUUCCAGGAGACGAUAUCUCUACUAGGCAUUUCAUCAAACACCUGGCGUCCUUCCAGUAACCGGUUACAUUUUCCAUACAUUGUAAUCAAUCCAUUCCCUACAUAAAGAUUUGAAUGCAGACCCUUCUUGAGAACAGCAACAUGGGUUUGUAAUCCGACCCACAAAUUCUCAGACACGGAACAUGCUUUUAGAACUUGAGGAACUGUAAAAUGAUCAGGGUUAAUGUUGAACUUGAACAUGUUUCUGUACAUACGAAGUGCUUUUUCGUAGAAUUCAUUGUUUACGUAGCUUCUAAUCAUCACAUUGAAGAAGACUACAUCUUUUUGAGGAAAUUCAUCAAACAGUUGGCGGGUAACUGCGAUUUGGCGACAUUCAGAAUAAGCUUUCAUUAAUUUCAGAGCAAUAUGCGAUGCUGAGACGAGGUUUCCAUCAAUAAUUAACCUACAAUGUAUCUUUUUCAAUUGUUUGAUAUCUGGGCACUUGUCCAAGAUUUUGAUACACAAGUCUUCUGUGAUUAACAUGAUUGUUAAGGCGAGAUUUGAAUGAAUUUGAACUUAUAUUCCUUUCGCCAUGUUGUACCUGAGGGGCAAUCAAAUAGAAUGGACGAAGAUAACGAAGGUUUACUUGGUGGUGUUCACUUAAAAACAAGAAAUAUGAAGUUCUAAACGCUAUUUCUUGUUAAACAGAAAAUAUUUUGUCCAAUCUAAAAAUCCAAUUUUUGAGUAAGUUCAAGCUUAAGCUCAAAAAUAGUAAGCAAAACAUGUUUAAAAAAUAAAAGUUCGUUUGAAACUCUUUGGAUAGCUCGAGUAUAACAAUCAUCAUAAUUAUAGUCAAUAAAUCAGGCUCAAACAACCAAACUUGAUGUCCAGCCCUUGAUCAUCCAAUUGCCAACUGAAAUCAACUUAGUUUCCGGUUUUAGAAUCGCCCUAACAUUACAUAAGCACCAACUAGUUCCAAAAGUAGUUUUUAAUUCAAUGUCUCCCAUACCCGUGACUUCAAGGGUUUCCAUGUUACCCAACCUUACCAACUUAAGAUAAGUUCUUUACUUCAAUUACUAUAACAGAUCGAUGAGUCAUGUUCUAAUGACCUCUCGUCAUAUGAUGCAAUGCUUAGACUCGAGUCUUUUAAAGUCAAAUUCUAUAAUGAAAUAUACAUUCCUUCAAGUUUCUAAUGUGAUAUAAUCACAUUCUAGCAUGUAUCACUUCUAGCUACAAGCUUCUUACUUUAACAACAAUCACAAUACUUCUAUUGAUCGCUUUGAUUAUCUUUCAGUUCAAUCUUCUGGCUUAAGUCAGAUGCUACAUCGAUCUUGGUUCUCUGAACCACGUACAAUACUUAUCCUAGCUGUAAUCGAUUUGAUAUGACCACUAGGGUCGGAAUAACAAUCAUCUUCUUAGUCAUUACCGAAAUUAUGGUAAUGACACAUGAACAAAACAGAAUCAAUUACUAGCGUCUUGGUAACUCGUGACUUUCCCUGAUCCAAGUGCGAGUCGUGUGCUUCCAGUAGUAUAUGCCUCUACUACCUUUCACACCUACUCAUACUUGUCCCAAGUAUUGUCUUUCAGUUCUCCAAGUCACCAUAAAAGAAUUUCACAUAGUCAUUUAACACAUCGAAUAACAAAACUAAGGUUUAUAUUAUUUCUUGAAACGAUUACAUAGAUAUUCAAGUUCACCUUAUACCAUGCCUUUUAUAUUAGGCUACACCACAUGAUACUAUCUAUAUGGCUACUUUAUAUCUCGAUCUUCAGAUAUAUAUAGAUCCCUACUCCUAAUCCCUUGUAUCGUCACCUGCUUCAUCCAGGUUAGACUUCGAGAAUCUUCCUUUCUUAUCGAAUCUUGAGGAUCCCUCAAGCUUCUUCUUUUCUCAUGCCUUGUCUUAUUCCAGACCCUUUUUCCUAAAUUAGGUUUCCAUAUUCUUGGUUGCUCUAACGGUUGUCUUCAAAGUAGUUGCCAUUUUUACCAUUGCGCCAAAUUAUGCUGGCAAUCCGUUAGCAAAACUAUCUAUCUUGGAGAGUUCAGUAGCACCAAGUAGGGGAAUAACUUCAUCUGCUCGGUGAAUACGGUGACAUACUCAUCAACACUCAUCUUCCUUUUCUUCAAGUUCGAAACUCGUUGUUUAGGUCUAUCAGAUCUAUCUCUGAGCAGUAUUGCAUUUUCAACUGCUCCAUGAAUGCUUCCCACCUCAGGGCUUCUCCCCCAUGGCUUUGUAUCUGCCAAUAACUUCCACCAACUUAAAACUCUGGUCUUUAGUUGUCUGACUGUAAAGACGGUUUUCUGCUUGUUGCUGCAAUUGCAACUUUCAAAUGUCAUCUCUAUCUCGGAGAUCCAAUCCAUGAUCUCUACUGGCUUCGGGCUUCCAGAAAGACUUGGUGGUUUGGCACCUAAGAAGUUCUUAUACAUACGUUCAUCCUUAUCAAUCGCUUUUUUCGGGUCGUUCCUCCUUGCCACUCGGGGUUCAGCUUGACUCACUGUACGACUGUAAUUUCCCUCCUCCGACAAUUCUUCAUUCAGUUCGGGUUGCACGAUAGGCACAAUAGGUUCAUCCCUAUUAUCAAGAAACAUUUUUCUCAUCUCCUCCCUUUGUUCGGCCAUCAUAGCCCAAAUCAUUGCUUAGACUCUUGCCAUCGUGAUUGGCUCGGGUGCAGCUACUACCUCUGGUGCACAUUUAAUCACUCGUGGUUCAGGCUGUUAGUUUUCAUUAGCAUUUUCUAAUAUGUUGCGAGUUCUCACCAUUUCGAUCUAUACACUCUAGAGAUGUUCAGUGUACAGUGACGAGAAUUAAGAUAUGGAAAGCUUUAUUUACGACAGCCAUAUAAAUCUUCUUAUCACUCGUAAAAGUUAUAUACUAGUUCUAAUACCGUAAUUAAAUGUUUGGAAAUUUUGAGCAAAUGACGGUUCAUCAACAAUAGAGCGAAUCUCAUUUAGGAAUUCGUUGAUAGGUCGAUUUCCUUUAGGAUUUUUAGCAAGUUUGGAUUUUAAAGAGAUGAUUCUUGAGCAGGAGGUGCUGGCAUAGCUUGUGUUGAGAUGCUUUCAUGCUUCUUUUGUGGUAAAUACAGAGGUAAUGAUAGGUUGAAUGAAUUGCAUCUGAGCAUGAACCAAGAAUUGCAUCGAAUACUACAUGAUCUUGGCGAUAGCAAGUCGUGUAUUCAUGAUUAGGUUUGGAUUUGUCUUUGUCGAUAAUGAAUUUUGUGGUAGGAUCAGUCACCCAUGUGAUGUAAUCUUCCAGACCUAGUCCAAUAAAUGUGGACUGCACUUGUCGCCUCCAUACAUGGAAGUUGUUGGUGAGUAAUUUGGUAGGAAAGUGACUUGAGGCGGUGAUUUGUAUUUGGGAUGAUUGUGUCAUGGUGAUGUUGAUGAAAAGGAUUAGAGGAGAAAGGCAAGAUGAUCGAUUGACUCUUUAGAGUGUGUGUGCUCUGAUACGAUAUGAGAUUUGAGAAUCAAUGGGCUCGAAUGAAUAAUUUCAUUUACAAAGAUCGAUACAUAUAUAGAUGGUAACGAGAGUUAAAGAGCUAUACAUGGAAUUUACUAAGAAUAGAUUGCAAUUACAUACAAAUAGAAGAGAUUAUUGUAGAUUAGUCAUGAAGAUGUGUACGAUGUUAUAGUUAGAUUGCUUAUUUGCAAUCCAUGUUAGCUAAGUAUGUCAUGUUGAAUACAAAUUGUAUUAAAACAUUAAAGUUCCAACCAUUAUAUGUUGAAGAAGAAGCAAAUACGCCUUAGUCACACCCAUUCUAAAUGAUAUGGAUGUUAUGGUUGUCGUUUCUAUGCAACCAAAUCGUGAUUCCAAGUUGCAGUUGUCUUACCAAUAUAUCAUGUUAGGAAAAGAUGACAUAGCAUGAAAUAUUGUAUGUUACAACAAAAAGAUAUAUCUUAUAGAUGUCUUGCACAUGGGUUAUUCCUUUUUAAGCACUUAUAUAAAAAUAAUAUCACGUAUGUAUGAUAUCUAUUUUGAGAGAUUUUUAGCAAGCAACUCUUUGUCUAUUAUUGUUAUUGGAUAGAAAAAGUAUCAUCUUCGUUGGGAAGAUUUUACUAGGAUUAGAUUCAUAAUAGUUUGUCAAAGAUUUUACUAUUAUGUAUUUAUAAACCCAUGAAGUUUUCUAUUAAAUAAAUAAAUAAAUAACCAUUCACCAUUUAUAUCUUUUUGGAAUAGAGUUUGUUAAAUUCUAAUAUAAAUAAAAAGAGUAUUUAUUUAGAUUCACACAUUACAAAAUUACAAACUCCAAGCAUAAAUCCGAAACUUAUUUUUAAACUUCUUCAUUUAUAUUACAAGUUUUAUUCUUUUUUCCCAACCCACUUGGGGUUUCGAAACCCUAAAAAAGUUCUAUCCAUGGAAGUUCAUAUUUAUUUCUUAUCUUAAUGAAUUUAAGGUCUAAAUCAAUAAAUGGCAAUGUAGAAUUAACCGCAUAUAUUAAGUUAUUUUUGGAAGCUUUCCAACACAACACAGAAAGGAAAUGAUGAGAAUUUAUGGUACCAAAUAACAAAAUAAUCCCGGUUCCUAUAAAAAUUUAUUAAAGCUCUACUCAUGAUUUCAUAAUCUCCUCUAAUAUGAGGGUUACGUUAUUGUAAUAAUAACUAUGAUAAUGUAAAAGCCAUAACAUAAAUCGUCUUAAUUUAAGAAAUAAUAUAAAUCCCAAGAUAUUGUUUUUAAAAUAAAAAGGAAAAAAGUGGGAGUCCAUUAGAAGGAGCCAAGCUGAUUAUUUGAGCCAAGAGAGCACCGAUUUGUUAUCCUUCCACUGUUCGAAGCGAGAGGUUAUCGCAGCUCUGUGAAGCCAGCCUAACGCAUUGCCCUCUGCUCUAGGAACCAAGAAGCCCAAGCCUUCGCUCAAGCCACUUGAUCCAACUCCGAACUUGGAACGGGCAAACCAGAUUUUGCAACAGCUUUGACCCAACCAAACAAGGCUCGAUCUCAGUCCAUCCCACUUUAGAGCCCUCACUUGAGUCACAAGCUCGCGUUACCAAGCUCGGCGAUAAACGAAGUCCAUUUGAUGUAUAAAUAAUCGGAAAAACUUUCUCCUCCAAGCGAUGUGGGAUGCGAAACGAAAUAUUUUCAUCUUCAUUCUCUCUUUAUCUCUGUCAAAUACUGUGAUUACUGAUUACUGACUACUUAAACACCCAUGCAACGGAUUUCAAGUAUUUUUUUCAAUCCAUGGAUUUAGAACUGUAAACU